UAUCAACUCAUUCAUUGGUCUUUGCAGAAUGCCCUCACAACAUACAAUUCUCAUGUUUUUACAAGUUCAACUGUAAUAUAAAAGAAAAGUCAAUACUGAAUGAUAAUUGAUAACAAAUAACAUUCCACAACUAAGCUUUAUCUUUGAUAAGAACGAGUUAGACUUGUAUCCACAAAACUCAUUCUCCUUGGAAAACUUCAAUGCCGAUGGAUAACUGAGUCAUCACAAUACAAUCACAGUUCCACCUUGUUCCCUAUGAUCUGCAAUAAAAUACAUACAUACAUAUCCUACAACAACAUUAAGAUCUAAAUUGGUUUAGAAUUGAAAAAGAUAAUCAUUUAAUGGGAAAAGCUACAACUACAAGUUGAGUUAUAAUUGCUUUUCAAAUAAAACAUUUUAAGCAAAAACACAAGUACUUGUUUUUAUAUAAAAAACAUUAUUGAAAAAAACCCAGAUCUAGAAAAGUGAAAAUCACAAUAAACGAUCAUAAAAAUAGCAUCUUUAAAAUAAGCAAAUAUUAUCCCAAAAAAAUAAUUCAGAUGAGGUUAACACCAUGUUCGCUAGAUGAUGUAUGGAACGAGGGAGAGAAAAGUGUAAUAACAAAAACCCAUUUUCCCAUCUCUCGCUCCAAACAUCUCUACCAAACAAUGCACUAAGAUAGCAUCAAUUCAUUGAAAUGGGUCUUCGUUGAGGCUCAGAUUUAUCAUUAAAAAUGGAAGAUUUCAUCAAAAAGCAACACCGCCAUGGAUAGCUGCAACUAAACGUUGCCACGCCACCGGCGAUAACUGCUUAACGACGACGCACCCAUUAAUUCCCACACUCCAAAACCAUCGUCAUAGCCUCUUAAUCGAUAGAGAAAGAGAGAUCGAAAGAGUAACAAAAAGAAAGUAAAUGAAAAAGGAGUGAUCUUCAUAGAACAAAUGAACAAUAUCCAUGAAAACAUAGCCUACGAGAUCGAGAGAAAGAGAGAGAUAGUGAGUGCAUACAUAUAUAUAUAUAUUUAUGAGAGAUUAGGGUUUAUUUGGGAACAUCAAUGAAGGUAGCAAUAGUAGCAGCUUCUUUCUCAAAAGGAGUGUGGAAACAAAAAAACCCUAAACUCUGCUUCUAAUUUUCUGUCCCUUGAAUAUAAAUAAGCUAAGGAUGAAUGGUUUUUUAGUCAUUGUCAAAUGUUG
RNAcentral lists this long non-coding RNA (1172 nucleotides) under Lupinus angustifolius (narrow-leaved blue lupine). RNAcentral's name for it is "long non-coding RNA (LANG_LNC000122)". Lineage: Eukaryota; Viridiplantae; Streptophyta; Magnoliopsida; Fabales; Fabaceae. The record is from RNAcentral.